GACGAACGCUGGCGGCGUGCUUAACACAUGCAAGUCGAACGGAAAGGCCCUGCUUGCAGGGUGCUCGAGUGGCGAACGGGUGAGUAACACGUGGGUGAUCUGCCCCUUACUUUGGGAUAAGCCUGGGAAACUGGGUCUAAUACUGGAUAGGACCAUGCUGUAGGUGGUGUGGUGGAAAGAUUAGUUUCGGUAAGGGAUGAGCUCGCGGCCUAUCAGCUUGUUGGUGGGGUAAUGGCCUACCAAGGCGUCGACGGGUAGCCGGCCUGAGAGGGUGGACGGCCACAUUGGGACUGAGAUACGGCCCAGACUCCUACGGGAGGCAGCAGUGGGGAAUAUUGCACAAUGGGCGCAAGCCUGAUGCAGCGACGCCGCGUGGGGGAUGACGGCCUUCGGGUUGUAAACUCCUUUCAGCCAUGACGAAGCCCUUGUGGUGACGGUAGUGGUAGAAGAAGCACCGGCUGACUACGUG
RNAcentral lists this ribosomal RNA (469 nucleotides) under uncultured bacterium. RNAcentral's name for it is "partial 16S ribosomal RNA". It matches the Rfam family "Bacterial small subunit ribosomal RNA", at positions 28 to 507 of the family's 1533-position model. The record is from RNAcentral.